CGCAUUCUGUGCAUGCAGCAUAUCAAUAAGCGGAGGAAAAGGCUGCGGAACUGAACGACCGAUACCUACGCUUAGGAUGUUGACGAGACUGUCGAUCUCAUCUAUACAUGACUCUGUGCAUAUCAAUAAGCGGAGGAAAAGCAUACAUUACCUACGCUUAGGAUGUUGACGAGACUGUCGAUCUCAUCUAUACAUGACUCUGUGCAUAUCAAUAAGCGGAGGAAAAGAAACUAACAAGGAUUCCCCUAGUAACGGCGAGUGAAGCGGGAAGAGCUCAAAUUUGAAAUCUUAAAGGGUUUCCCUUUACGAAUUGUAGUUUAAAGAAGUGUUUUCUGUUGAGGUUUUGGUAAAAGUUCUUUGGAAUAGGACAUCAUAGAGGGUGAGAAUCCCGUACUUGACCUUUACUUUCAACUUUGUGAUACACUUUCAAAGAGUCGGAUUGUUUGGGAAUGCAGUCCAAAAUGGGUGGUAAAUUUCAUCUAAAGCUAAAUAUUGGCGAGAGACCGAUAGCGAACAAGUACCGUGAGGGAAAGAUGAAAAGAACUUUGAAAAGAGAGUUAAACAGUACGUGAAAUUGUCAAAAGGGAAGCGUUUGACACCAGUGUUGUUUUUCUGAAAAUCAAUUAAAGAACUGUUUAUGCUAAGCUGUUUAGACUUUAUCAGCUAACUGUUUAGUUUUGAGCUUUUCUUUAAUGCACUUUUCAGUUAACAAGUCAACAUCAAUUUCUUUUGCUGUAAAAAAGCUUGAGGAAGGUGGCUUGAGAUUCGUCUUAAGUGUUUAUAGCCUCUUGCCUAUGCAGUCGGAGAGAUUGAGGUCUGCAGCGUAGAUCCUUCGGGGCUAAAUGCAUUUGUGCUAAGUUAUAGCAUUUUAUAGACAACUUGUUGACUAUGAUUUGUCUUGUAGCUUACUCGCUUAUGUUAUUUUACCUACGCUUAGGAUGUUGACGAGACUGUCGAUCUC
RNAcentral lists this ribosomal RNA (961 nucleotides) under uncultured Neocallimastigales. RNAcentral describes it as "partial large subunit ribosomal RNA". The stretch from base 179 to 961 matches the Rfam family "Eukaryotic large subunit ribosomal RNA", at positions 1 to 646 of the family's 3401-position model. Lineage: Eukaryota; Fungi; Neocallimastigomycota; Neocallimastigomycetes; Neocallimastigales. The record is from RNAcentral.